UACGGGGGGAGCAAGCGUUGUUCGGAUUUACUGGGCGUAAGGGGCGCGUAGGCGGUCGUGACAAGUCACUUGUGAAAUCUCCGGGCUUAACUCGGAACGGUCAAGUGAUACUGUCGGACUAGAGUACAGAAGGGGCAACUGGAAUUCUCGGUGUAGCGGUGAAAUGCGUAGAUAUCGAGAGGAACACCUGCGGCGAAGGCGGGUUGCUGGGCUGAUACUGACGCUGAGGCGCGAAAGCCAGGGGAGCGAACGGG
Molecule: ribosomal RNA, 254 nt
Filed under: uncultured bacterium
Lineage: Bacteria
Description: partial 16S ribosomal RNA
Rfam family: Bacterial small subunit ribosomal RNA
Source: RNAcentral